GACGAACGCUGGCGGCGUGCCUAAUACAUGCGAGUUGAGCGAUGAAGAUUGGUGCUUGCACCAAUUUGAAGAGCAGCGAACGGGUGAGUAACGCGUGGGGAAUCUGCCUUUGAGCGGGGGACAACAUUUGGAAACGAAUGCUAAUACCGCAUAACAACUUUAAACAUAAGUUUUAAGUUUGAAAGAUGCAAUUGCAUCACUCAAAGAUGAUCCCGCGUUGUAUUAGCUAGUUGGUGAGGUAAAGGCUCACCAAGGCGAUGAUACAUAGCCGACCUGAGAGGGUGAUCGGCCAAAAUGGGACUGAGACACGGCCCAAACUCCUACGGGAGGCAGCAGGAGGGAAUCUUCGGCAAUGGACGAAAGUCUGACCGAGGAACGCCGCGUGAGUGAAGAAGGUUUUCGGAUCGUAAAACUCUGUUGGUAGAGAAGAACGUUGGUGAGAGUGGAAAGCUCAUCAAGUGACGGUAACUACCCAGAAAGGGACGGCUAACUACGUG
Molecule: ribosomal RNA, 497 nt
Filed under: uncultured bacterium
Lineage: Bacteria
Description: partial 16S ribosomal RNA
Rfam family: Bacterial small subunit ribosomal RNA
Source: RNAcentral